Dipodomys ordii (Ord's kangaroo rat) is the source of this 115-nucleotide ribosomal RNA. The record is from Ensembl. Lineage: Eukaryota; Metazoa; Chordata; Mammalia; Rodentia; Heteromyidae.
GUCUAUGGCCAUACCACUUGAAUGCAUCCGAUCUCAUCUGAGCUGGGAAGCCAAGCAGGACUGAGCCUGGUUAGUACUCAGAUGGGGAAAAGAGCAGGCAGGACAGACACAGACA